GUAGGGAGCAAGCGUUGUUCGGAAUUAUUGGGGCGUAAAGAGCGCGUAGGCGGCCAGGUAAGUCUGAUGUGAAAUCCCACAGCUCAACUGUGGAACUGCAUUGGAAACUGCUUGGCUAGAGUGCGGGAGAGGAGAGUGGAAUUCCCAGUGUAGAGGUGAAAUUCGUAGAUAUUGGGAGGAACACCAGUGGCGAAGGCGGCUCUCUGGACCGCAACUGACGCUGAGGCGCGAAAGCUAGGGGAGCGAACGGGAUUAGAUACCCCGGUAGUCCUAGCCGUAAACGAUGGGCACUAGGUGUAGGAGGUAUCGACCCCUUCUGUGCCGUAGCUAACGCAUUAAGUGCCCCGCCUGGGGAGUACGGUCGCAAAGACUA
This 373-nucleotide ribosomal RNA is filed under the name uncultured organism. Its description in RNAcentral is "partial 16S ribosomal RNA". It matches the Rfam family "Bacterial small subunit ribosomal RNA", at positions 527 to 896 of the family's 1533-position model. The record is from RNAcentral.